ACUAGUUAGCACAUGGUACAAUGACUUGAAGUUGUGAUUACAUAUGAAUAUUAUUCGCUGUACUUAUAUAGCUGCAUUUUGUUCAAAGUAACAAUUUGUAGAAAGUAGCACUCUGUGACUGUGUUUAGGCUAACAUUUUAAUCGAAGGCAUCGAGAAGAUUUCCAUCAUUCCUCUGUUAUCAUUUGUUACAGUAGUAUAAGGAUGAAUAAAAAUAUGCAGAACGUAGAUGUACAAUGGAAUCAAAGAAGCUCGAAAAAAAGAAAAAAUGACGUUCUUAGUGCUAUAGAAGUCCCGAAUAAAGCCACAUUGAUUUUUGAUACAACUAAAAUCCCUGGUAAAAUGUUGAAAAAAAGUACAAAAAUACCACGAUCGGACCAUGACAUGAAAUAUGUAAGCGAGUAUCUAUGCAAUCUGAAUCAAGUUUUAGGUAACCGGAAUAUGCAGAACGUAGAUGUACAAUGCAGUCAGAGAAGCUCGAGAAAAAGAAAAAAUGAAGAUGCUAGUGAGAGAGUCGCGAAAAAAAUCAGAUCGAUUAUUGAUAAUAUUGAUAGAACUAAAAACGAAACAGCACAAUCGGUAUUGCAAAUGGAAUUUUUAGCGAGUCAGCUCCAAUAUCUUCGAGAAAUGGAUAAAAAGUUGCUCGCCAAAAUAAAGACAGGGAUAGGAGCAAAAAAGGACUACUAUUUAAAGCAUCGACGUUCAAUUUUAGAAAGUCCUUAUUGGAGAAAUGAUCAAAAGUUGUUAAAACAAAAUGAAAUCGGCCUUGAAUUCGUAACACGACUUUACAAUUAUCUAGAGAAAGUAGAGGUGGAAGGUAAAGGCGCAGACUUUCCAAAUUUUUUCGAUUUACCAAUAGAUGAUUUCAGAAAAAUUUUUGUUUAAAACUUUUUUUUAAAACACAUUUAAAAUGUGUUUUAAACACAAAUUCAUUUGUUUCGAAUUCAGUCUUUCAAAUAUCCGUCAUCCAGUGAUCAAUUUUCAAGAUGUGACGUCAUAAAAUAGCUAUUAGGUUUCAGAAAUAUUAAAAAAUUGAAAUCAAAAUACAAAAUUAAUUUGUCUUUAAAAAAAGUACAGGAAGAAAAUGAAAAUCUAAAAAUACAGUUCAUUCAAUUCCACUUCUUUUUCAACGAGAAACUGAAAAAAAGUGUUUUUUUUUUUUUUGGAAGUUAAGAGUUGAAAAAAAAACCUCUGUCGCAAAGAUUAAAAAAUCCAAUAAAUAAAUUGCACUUCUCUCCAAAAUUGAACUCAAAAUUGACUAUCUAAAAGCAUGUUUUUUGUAUUAUAUUGCCAUGAAAUUUCUGCACUCCUCCCAACCCAAAAAUAAAUUCACCACAAAUUGUUACUGAAAUUUAUGAAUUGAAAACAAAGUCGUUAAUAAGUAAUAACAAUUUUUUUGAUAAUGUAUUAGUUGUUAAGAUGCUAAAAAAAUUGUUCCACAAUAAAAUAUGUUUGC
Long non-coding RNA from Planococcus citri (citrus mealybug), 1454 nucleotides. RefSeq lists it as uncharacterized. The transcript is spliced from 4 exons. The record is from RefSeq and is a predicted model, not a curated record. NCBI's taxonomy places the organism in Eukaryota, Metazoa, Arthropoda, Insecta, Hemiptera, Pseudococcidae.